This 388-nucleotide ribosomal RNA is filed under the name uncultured bacterium. Its description in RNAcentral is "bacterial SSU rRNA". It matches the Rfam family "Bacterial small subunit ribosomal RNA", at positions 28 to 417 of the family's 1533-position model. The record is from RNAcentral.
GACGAACGCUGGCGGCGUGCUUAACACAUGCAAGUCGAGCGGUAAGGCCCUUCGGGGUACGACGAGCGGCGAACGGGUGAGUAACACGUGGGUGGACCUGCCUCUAGCUCUGGGAUAAGCCUGGGAAACUGGGUCUAAUACCGGAUAUGACUCCACGGCGCAUGUUGUGGGGUGGAAAGCCUUGUGUGGCUAGAGAUGGGCCCGCGGCCUAUCAGCUUGUUGGUGGGGUGAUGGCCUACCAAGGCGACGACGGGUAGCCGGCCUGAGAGGGCGACCGGCCACACUGGGACUGAGACACGGCCCAGACUCCUACGGGAGGCAGCAGUGGGGAAUCUUGCGCAAUGGGCGAAAGCCUGACGCAGCGACGCCGCGUGAGGGAUGACGGCCU